AUUCAACAUCAGCAGCACAUAUACUGAAAUUGGAACAAUACAGAGAAUAGCCUGACCCCUGCGCAAGAAUGACACACAAAUUCGUGAAACAUUCCAUAUUUUU
Small nuclear RNA from Choloepus didactylus (southern two-toed sloth), 103 nucleotides. Lineage: Eukaryota; Metazoa; Chordata; Mammalia; Pilosa; Megalonychidae. The record is from RefSeq and is a predicted model, not a curated record.